Molecule: transfer RNA, 72 nt
Filed under: Masticbarbus iridescens
Lineage: Eukaryota; Metazoa; Chordata; Actinopteri; Cypriniformes; Cyprinidae
Description: Acrossocheilus iridescens tRNA-Asp
Rfam family: tRNA
About the family: Transfer RNA (tRNA) molecules are approximately 80 nucleotides in length.
Source: RNAcentral
AAAACAUUAGUAAAAUGUAGAUUACACCACCUUGUCAAGGUGAAAUUGCGGGUUAAAUCCCCGCAUGUUUUA